Molecule: ribosomal RNA, 264 nt
Filed under: uncultured bacterium
Lineage: Bacteria
Description: partial 16S ribosomal RNA
Rfam family: Bacterial small subunit ribosomal RNA
Source: RNAcentral
GUCCACGCCCUAAACGAUGUCUACUAGUUGUUGGGUCUUAAUUGACUUAGUAACGCAGCUAACGCGUGAAGUAGACCGCCUGGGGAGUACGGUCGCAAGAUUAAAACUCAAAGGAAUUGACGGGGACCCGCACAAGCGGUGGAUGAUGUGGAUUAAUUCGAUGCAACGCGAAAAACCUUACCUACCCUUGACAUGGAUGGAAUCCCGGAGAGAUUUGGGAGUGCUCGAAAGAGAACCAUCACACAGGUGCUGCAUGGCUGUCGU